RNAcentral lists this ribosomal RNA (429 nucleotides) under Pseudomonadota bacterium. RNAcentral's name for it is "Proteobacteria bacterium partial 16S ribosomal RNA". It matches the Rfam family "Bacterial small subunit ribosomal RNA", at positions 355 to 776 of the family's 1533-position model. The record is from RNAcentral. Lineage: Bacteria; Pseudomonadati; Pseudomonadota.
UGGGGAAUAUUGGACAAUGGGCGAAAGCCUGAUCCAGCCAUGCCGCGUGUGUGAAGAAGGUCUUCGGAUUGUAAAGCACUUUAAGUUGGGAGGAAGGGCAGUAAGCGAAUACCUUGCUGUUUUGACGUUACCGACAGAAUAAGCACCGGCUAACUCUGUGCCAGCAGCCGCGGUAAUACAGAGGGUGCAAGCGUUAAUCGGAAUUACUGGGCGUAAAGCGCGCGUAGGUGGUUCGUUAAGUUGAAUGUGAAAGCCCCGGGCUCAACCCGGGAACUGCAUCCAAAACUGGCGAGCUAGAGUAGGGCAGAGGGUGGUGGAAUUUCCUGUGUAGCGGUGAAAUGCGUAGAUAUAGGAAGGAACACCAGUGGCGAAGGCGACCACCUGGGCUCAUCCUGACACUGAGGUGCGAAAGCGUGGGGGGCAAACAGG